RNAcentral lists this transfer RNA (68 nucleotides) under Opisthoteuthis sp. RNAcentral describes it as "tRNA-Ile". Lineage: Eukaryota; Metazoa; Mollusca; Cephalopoda; Octopoda; Opisthoteuthidae. The record is from RNAcentral.
AAUGCUGCGCCGGAAUGAACGGAUUAUAUUGAUGUUAUAAAUAAUAAGAAUUUUUUUCUUCUGCAUUA